This 253-nucleotide ribosomal RNA is filed under the name uncultured bacterium. Its description in RNAcentral is "partial 16S ribosomal RNA". It matches the Rfam family "Bacterial small subunit ribosomal RNA", at positions 524 to 776 of the family's 1533-position model. The record is from RNAcentral.
UACGAAGGGGGCUAGCGUUGUUCGGAAUUACUGGGCGUAAAGGGUGCGUAGGUGGGUCUGUAAGUCAGUGGUGAAAUCUCCGGGCUUAACCCGGAAAUUGCCAUUGAUACUAUAGGUCUUGAAUCAUCUGGAGGUAAGCGGAAUAUGUCAUGUAGCGGUGAAAUGCUUAGAUAUGACAUAGAACACCUAUUGCGAAGGCAGCUUACUACGGAUGUAUUGACACUGAGGCACGAAAGCGUGGGGAUCAAACAGG